Sycon ciliatum is the source of this 302-nucleotide long non-coding RNA. RefSeq lists it as uncharacterized. Lineage: Eukaryota; Metazoa; Porifera; Calcarea; Leucosolenida; Sycettidae. The transcript has 3 exons. The record is from RefSeq and is a predicted model, not a curated record.
UUGCCUUCGAAGCUUCUCGAGCUCCUUUUCUCUAGUGAAGGUAGAAAGCCUGCUGUAGAAGAGACUGAUAAAGCUGUUCUUGUCAACGCGCCAAGAUGAGGACUCUAGCCAUACUGAUGUUGAUCUGUAUGGCCAAGAUGGCUUUGGCUGAGCCGGAACCUGACCAGAAUGUGACCUUUUGCGGACAUUGCCAAUGCCGUGGGAACAAUAUUAUUGGAUGCAGGAAUGUUGCAGCUGUAUUUGUUGACGGCGUUGUCCUGCCCAGUAUUAAUCCUGGUAUAUUUGACCACUUGUACCUCUUA